Molecule: long non-coding RNA, 1107 nt
Organism: Siniperca chuatsi (mandarin fish)
Lineage: Eukaryota; Metazoa; Chordata; Actinopteri; Centrarchiformes; Sinipercidae
Exons: 2
Source: RefSeq, a predicted model, not a curated record
CCCUCCCUCUCUCUCUCCAUCGCCACUGAGUUUCAUUCACCAACAAAGAGCUGUCACUCUUCCCUGAAAAACUCCAGAUUCUGGCUGAGCGAAGGACCACUAUUUUAUGGCCAAAAUCUUGUUUACCUGCAGGAGAGUUGAUCUGAUGAUAACAGAAACAGGAUCACAUCUGGAAACCUAUUUCAUUCAUCUUACAGGCUAUGCAACAAGCAGUGAUAUGGAGGUAGCGCAAAAAUAAGUCAUUUUUAGAAAUUCACGUGUUUUUUAAUUCUUAAUACAGGCCUAAUCUACGUUAUGGAAGCGACUGUGAAGCUGCACAAUAAAGAUCUGUGUGUUUUAAAGGGUGUGAAAACUCACGCAAAUAAAAAAGGCAGACUGAAUGGCUUUACUGUCCAGUACACAGGCCAAAUACGGUGACAACAAACCGAAAAUGAGGCAGCAAGGUCUGUAUUUUGACUAACACAACCCAGGCCUUUACAGCUGAACUCCGGAUAACAGCUAUGGACUCUGCAAGGUCGGUGGCUGAAAAUGGCUCCAUAAAACAAUAGAUACACUGGCUGAAUCUGUGACUCGGCUUUAGUCCCAUUAAUAGAUUUACUGAGGCUCAGGGGGGUUUGCAGGUGUGGAUGCUUCAUCUCAAGACGUGUUACAUUAUAAUGUGUAGGCUAAUCCCCAGCCCGCCCCCGCCCCCCCACCCACCCACCAUGAAGUUGUGUUGACUUUAAUUGGAGGCCCCUUGAUAACAGCGCUAUAAGACGAGACCUGAACCCUCCUGGACGGGCCGGACCUGCAGCUGUUCUGAAAAGCAUAACGUUAAUUUGCGCCCUGUCAGUGUCUUAACACCAGCCACAGAGCGGUGAAAAGAGACUCAAAGGGGACACACGGGUUUCAUUUCACCUGGACAAAGACACCCUGAGAGGAGUGAUCAACUCAGCAUUGUGUAAAAUUUAAUCUGUCUGCUGUUUUUUUUUUUGUUGUUUUUUUUUUUUCUCCUUCUCUCCGGAAAUUAAAAGAGAUUUCAAAAUAUGGACUUAUUCACAUAGUAAAAUAUAAAUACUGUAUGCACAUGUAUCAUAUCGUUAAUGUCGAUAAAGAAGGCUGUUUUGA